RNAcentral lists this ribosomal RNA (422 nucleotides) under uncultured bacterium. RNAcentral describes it as "bacterial SSU rRNA". It matches the Rfam family "Bacterial small subunit ribosomal RNA", at positions 358 to 773 of the family's 1533-position model. The record is from RNAcentral.
GGAAUAUUGGGCAAUGGGCGCAAGCCUGACCCAGCCAUGCCGCGUGAGUGAUGAAGGCCCUCGGGUCGUAAAGCUCUGUGGGGAGGGACGAACAAGCCGGACCCAAUACGUCCGGUCCUGCCGGUACCCCCUUAGCACGCACCGGCUACCCCCGUGCCAGCAGCCGCGGUAAUACGGAGGGUGCAAACGUUGCUCGGAAUUAUUGGGCGUAAAGCGCACGUAGGCGGUUUCGUGAGUCGGAUGUGAAAGCCCAGGGCUCAACCCUGGAAGUGCAUUCGAAACUGCGGAGCUCGAGUAUGGAAGAGGGUCGCGGAAUUCCCGGUGUAGAGGUGAAAUUCGUAGAUAUCGGGAGGAACACCAGUGGCGAAGGCGGCGACCUGGGCCAAUACUGACGCUGAGGUGCGAAAGCGUGGGGAGCAAAC